UACGGGGGGAGCAAGCGUUGUUCGGAUUUACUGGGCGUAAAGGGCGCGUAGGCGGCCACGACAAGUCACUUGUGAAAUCUCCGGGCUUAACUCGGAAAGGUCAAGUGAUACUGUCGGGCUAGAGUGCAGAAGGGGCAACUGGAAUUCUCGGUGUAGUGGUGAAAUGCGUAGAUAUCGGGAGGAACACCAGUGGCGAAGGCGACUGCCUGGCCUGUUGCUUGACGCUGAGGCGCGAAAGCUAGGGGAGCAAACGGG
This 255-nucleotide ribosomal RNA is filed under the name uncultured bacterium. Its description in RNAcentral is "partial 16S ribosomal RNA". It matches the Rfam family "Bacterial small subunit ribosomal RNA", at positions 524 to 776 of the family's 1533-position model. The record is from RNAcentral.